RNAcentral lists this ribosomal RNA (401 nucleotides) under uncultured bacterium. RNAcentral's name for it is "bacterial SSU rRNA". It matches the Rfam family "Bacterial small subunit ribosomal RNA", at positions 355 to 773 of the family's 1533-position model. The record is from RNAcentral.
UGGGGAAUAUUGGACAAUGGGGGAAACCCUGAUCCAGCAAUGCCGCGUGUGUGAAGAAGGCCUUCGGGUUGUAAAGCUCUUUCACCGGUGAAGAUAAUGACGGUAACCGGAGAAGAAGCCCCGGCUAACUUCGUGCCAGCAGCCGCGGUAAUACGAAGGGGGCUAGCGUUGUUCGGAAUUACUGGGCGUAAAGCGCACGUAGGCGGACAUUUAAGUCAGGGGUGAAAUCCCGGGGCUCAACCCCGGAACUGCCUUUGAUACUGGGUGUCUAGAGUAUGGAAGAGGUGAGUGGAAUUCCGAGUGUAGAGGUGAAAUUCGUAGAUAUUCGGAGGAACACCAGUGGCGAAGGCGGCUCACUGGUCCAUUACUGACGCUGAGGUGCGAAAGCGUGGGGAGCAAAC